GAAUUUUGGACAAUGGGGGCAACCCUGAUCCAGCCAUCCCGCGUGUGCGAUGAAGCCCUUCGGGUUGUAAAGCACUUUUGGCAGGGAAGAAAAGGCUCUGCCUAAUACCUGGAGCCGCUGACGGUACCUGCAGAAUCCGCACCGGCUACCGACGUCCCAGCCGCCGCGGUAAAACGUAGGGUGCAAGCGUUAAUCGGAAUUACUGGGCGUAAAGCGUGCGCAGGCGGUUCGGCAAGAAGGAUGUGAAAUCCCAGGGCUUAACCUUGGAACUGCAUUCUUAACUGCCGGGCUAGAGUAUGUCAGAGGGGGGUAGAAUUCCGCGUGUAGCAGUGAAAUGCGUAGAGAUGCGGAGGAAUACCGAUGGCGAAGGCAGCCCCCUGGGAUAAUACUGACGCUCAUGCACGAAAGCGUGGGGAGCAAAC
RNAcentral lists this ribosomal RNA (422 nucleotides) under uncultured bacterium. Its description in RNAcentral is "partial 16S ribosomal RNA". It matches the Rfam family "Bacterial small subunit ribosomal RNA", at positions 359 to 773 of the family's 1533-position model. The record is from RNAcentral.